AAAACAGUUAUAGUUUAUUUGAUAAUGGAAAGCUAUAUGGAUAACCGUGGUAACCCUAGAGCUAAUACAUGCUGUCAAACCUGACUUCUGGAAGGGUUGUAUUUAUUAGAUAUUUAGCCAAUAUUCCUUCGGGUCUAUUGCGACGAAUCAGAAUAACUGAUCGAAUCUCAAAUUUGAGAUAAAUCAUUCAAGUUUCUGCCCUAUCAGCUUUCGAUGGUAGUGUAUUGGACUACCAUGGCAGUCACGGGUAACGGAGAAUUAGGGUUCGGUUCCGGAGAGGGAGCCUGAAAAACGGCUACCACAUCUAAGGAAGGCAGCAGGCGCGUAAAUUACCCAAUCCUGAUUCAGGGAGGUAGUGACAAGAAAUAACAAGCCGGGGAUCUUUGAUCUUACGGGAUUGCAAUGAGAACAAUUUAAACCACUUAGCGAGGAACAACUGGAGGGAAAGUCUGGUGCCAGCAGCCGCGGUAAUUCCAGCUCCAGUAGCGUAUAUUAAAGUUGUUGCAGUUAAAAAGCUCGUAGUUGAAUGUCUGGCUGUUUCUACCUUUGGGUUUCCCGGGGUAGGGGCGGUCAUCCGUCUGCGAACUGCAUUCGGCCUUCACUGGUUCGGUGCUGGGAGCAGGCAUUUUACUGUGAAAAAAUUAGAGUGUUUCAGGCAGGCCAUUGCCCGAAUACAUUAGCAUGGAAUAAUGGAAUAGGAUUUGGUGCCAUUCGUUGGUUGGUGGUGCUAAAUAAUGAUUAAUAGGGACAGAUGGGGGCAUUAGUAUUUAAUAGUCAGAGGUGAAAUUCUAGGAUUUAUUAAAGACUAACUUAUGCGAAAGCAUUUGCCAAGGAUGUUUUCAUUAAUCAAGAACGAAAGUUAGGGGAUCAAAUAGGAUCAGAUACCCUAGUAGUCUUAACUAUAAACUAUACCGACUCGGGAUCGGACGGAUCUUAAAAGUCUGUUCGGCACCGUAUGAGAAAUCAAAGUC
RNAcentral lists this ribosomal RNA (971 nucleotides) under uncultured ciliate. RNAcentral describes it as "SSU rRNA". It matches the Rfam family "Eukaryotic small subunit ribosomal RNA", at positions 103 to 1105 of the family's 1831-position model. Lineage: Eukaryota; Ciliophora. The record is from RNAcentral.